Sorex fumeus (smoky shrew) is the source of this 209-nucleotide small nucleolar RNA. RefSeq annotates it as small nucleolar RNA U3. The transcript has a single exon. NCBI's taxonomy places the organism in Eukaryota, Metazoa, Chordata, Mammalia, Eulipotyphla, Soricidae. The record is from RefSeq and is a predicted model, not a curated record.
UAUACUAUACUUUCGAGAGUCAUUUCUAUAGUUUGUUACUACAGAAGUUUCUCUGAUCAUAUAGAGCACCCAAAAUUAAGAGGAGGAACCAGAAUAUCCUGAGCAUGAAGCCAGUUCUAUAUGUUGCUUUUGCAAUCACCUUUCACCAUUGAUGAUCAUUCUUCUCUUCCCAUGGAAGACUGAGAGGAAGAGAAUGCAGUCUCAGUGGU